RNAcentral lists this unclassified non-coding RNA (4058 nucleotides) under Hevea brasiliensis (rubber tree). The record is from RNAcentral. Lineage: Eukaryota; Viridiplantae; Streptophyta; Magnoliopsida; Malpighiales; Euphorbiaceae.
CCGGAGAAAAUCUACAUUGUAUGAAAACAUAGCAUACAAAAUUGAUCAUCAAAAAGAUAUGGACCAAUCGUAGAAGUUACUCCUCCAUUUGUCCUAUAGGACAAUUCUAGGGUCUGAAACUUUACAAACCCAAAUUUCAUGAACAAGUACAGUUUAGUUGAUGCCAUCAGCUACACUUGGCGCAACUUGUUACAAAAAGGUUAAACGACAAAUAGUUGGACUUGGGAACACAUAAACAAGAGAAUCAUACAGAUUUUGUCCAAUUGCUGGGAACUAAGGCUUCAAAACAAUUAGUUGCAGAUAGGAGGAAGAGAAGUCUUUCAGUGCUUCCUCCAAGCUGUCAUCCCCAUCUCCCGCUCCUCUCCCUCUUACCCUUCACAGUGGCCCAAAGGGGUCCCAACAUAGCCAAUCAUAAUCCUUCACCCAAUAAAGCAUACAAGCAUUUGAAUUUCACGUGCACUAUGGACCCAUCGACACCCUAACUGGGCAUCACCCUGUCAAAUAAAUCAAAGUAGAGGCCCCAAAAGUCCCUCUGAUCUGAUCUCAGGGUAGAUACGCUAUGCUCACAUUCCUACAGCUAUGGAUUCUAGAACAUAAUUGAUCAUCAUUUAAGUUUGCAAAACUUGGGUAUGAGCGUACUUGACACUGUAGGCAGAGAUACGCCCAAUGGCAAAGCCAUCUACUUUUUCCAAACAUAGGAUAAGCAUCCAUAACACGCUGAGGAUAAAAACUUUGGAGACCUUUUUUUUUUAAAAAAAAAAUCUGUGAUGGAGAUGGGAUUGUGGUUGCUGCUGCUUGAAAAAAUUGUAAAGAUUUAUGAAAUCUUUCUUUCUUGCGACUUUUUCUAUUCAACUUUGGCAUAUGUUUGAUGGUUUCUCUUAUAAAUAAUAAUUGCCCAAAAAAGAGAACCAAAGGUAAAAUCCUAAAACUCUUGCAACAGUUAGGCAGUCUUCAUACGAAUUCUCAAAACUGAAUAUUGGUUUAGUUGACUCAGCACCCAAAUCUUCACCUUUAAAUUCUCUUCUCAGCCAUUCAUUUCCCUGUCUCUUCCACAACUCUCCUUUUGCUUUUGCUUACAAAGAAACAACUAAUACCAGCUUAAACACCUUUUGCCCUCAGCUCCCUCCAAUUUUUCCAACCACAAGAUGAGAUGCCCACCCGCUAUCUUCCACAAACAAAAUAAUAUGCUUUUCACAAGAAGUUUCAUGAUCUUACUCCUAAGCUUCAUGACUAUAAGAAUAAACCUGUGUUUUUCCAGCGACCAUUCUUCAUUGAGAACACUUUCCAUUGAUGGACAUUUAAUUUUUGAUGAUGUUCACCGUGCAGCCAAAGACUUCGGCAACAUGUUUCAGUUGCUCCCUUUUGCAGUGCUACAUCCAAAGUCAGUUUCUGACAUUGCCACUACAAUAAAACAUAUUUGGCAGAUGGGUCCUCAUUCACAGCUCACAGUUGCAGCCAGAGGCCACAGCCACUCGCUCCAAGGUCAGGCACAAGCCCACCAAGGAGUUGUCAUCAACAUGGAAUCUCUCCAAGGCCCUAAAAUGCAUGUUCAUGCUGGAAAUUAUCCAUAUGUGGAUGUCUCAGGUGGUGAGUUAUGGAUAAAUAUCCUGCAUGAAAGCCUGAAAUACGGGUUAGCACCAAAAUCAUGGACAGACUACCUAUAUUUAACAGUUGGUGGUACUUUAUCCAAUGCUGGGAUUAGCGGGCAGGCAUUUCAGCAUGGCCCGCAAAUAAGUAAUGUCUAUCAGCUGGAAGUUGUUACAGGGAAAGGAGAGAUAGUGAAUUGCUCAGAGAAUCAGAAUGGUGACCUAUUCCACAGUGUUCUUGGAGGACUUGGUCAGUUUGGCAUCAUAACAAGGGCAAGAAUAUCAUUAGAACCAGCACAUGAUAUGGUAAAAAGCAUGACCAUUGGGAGUAUUAAUUAAUUAAUUAGUACAAGAAAAGGAAAUAAUUAUUCUCAGUUUAGUUAAAAGUUUUACUUCUAAUAACAGAAUUCUGUAUUUCGAAUAGGUGAAAUGGAUUAGAGUGCUCUACUCAGACUUCAGCAAAUUUGCCAGAGACCAGGAGCUUCUAAUAUCUGCAGAAAACACGUUUGACUACAUUGAAGGAUUUGUGAUCAUUAACAGGACUGGUCUCUUAAAUAACUGGAGGUCAUCCUUUAAUCCUCAUGACCCAUUACAAGCUAGCCGGUUUGAAUCAGAUGGAAGAACACUAUUCUGCUUAGAAUUGGCCAAAUACUUCAACACAGACAAGAAAGAUGUAAUAAAUAAGGUUAGAAGCAAUAGCCCACCAUCUGGUCGUUUUCUAAAUUAUUUAACUAAAUUGAUUAAUAAAUUAUAAAUACGUAAUACACAAAUUAAUAAAUUAAAUUAAAUUAAUAAAAGGACACUUGUAUAUUUUUUUUAUGUUGCAGGAAGUAAUGAACUUGUUGUCUCAAUUAAGAUAUAUCCCAUCAACACUUUUUCUAUCAGAAGUUCCAUACAUGGAAUUCUUGGAUAGGGUUCAUGUGUCUGAGAUCAAACUACGGUCCAAAGGCUUGUGGGAAGUUCCACAUCCAUGGCUAAAUCUUCUUGUCCCCAAAAGCAAAAUUCACAAUUUUGCUGAAGAAAUCUUUGGAAAUAUCCUUACAGACACCAGUAAUGGGCCCAUCCUCAUCUACCCAGUCAACAAAUCAAAGUAACAGUUCAACAAAGAUCAUUUUAUUUCUGUAAAUUCCUGUAGCUUUUUUUGAAUGAUUAAUUCAUUGAUUCCAAUUUCAGGUGGGACAACAGAACUUCUGCUGUUAUUCCAGAAGAAGAUAUUUUCUACUUGGUGGCAUUCCUUUCCUCUGCCGUUCCCUCUUCAAGAGGAAGUGAUGGCUUAGAACAUAUCCUAACUCAGAACAGGCGAAUCCUAGAAUUUUGUGGCACAGCCCGUCUUGGUGUCAAGCAAUAUCUGCCUCACUACACUACACAGGAAGAGUGGCAAGCCCACUUUGGUCCACAAUGGGAAGUUUUUGUGCAAAGAAAAUCUGCUUAUGACCCUUUGGCAAUACUUGCACCUGGCCAAAGAAUAUUUCAAAAGGCAAUAGCUUUCUCAUGACACUGGUGAAAAUUUUAUUUUAAAAGAAAAUGCCCUUACAGCAUGUGGGAGGAAGAUGCCUUAACCUCCCUGCAAAUACUAAAUAGAUAACUAUAUUUUUUCCCCCUAUUUUCUAAUAUACUCCAAGUUUCACAAGAAGGCUACAGAAGCUACUCAAACUUUGUUUUCAAAUGUUGAAUAUUUCAAAUAUCUAGUAUUUAUAAUCUUGCUUGACAAUUUGAAAACCUUUCUGAAGAUAUCCCCACCUUGCCAUACGACAACAUGAAGUACAAUGCUUGAGAACACCCCAAAAUAUAUUCAAAUUCGUCUGCUCAGCAUAGGACAAGAAGUUAAAAGACUAAUUAAACAGUAAUUAAUCGAAUAUGUAAUCAUGAAAUAAGAAUUACUGCAACUACAAACCACCUAAAAUGUUGGUUCUGAAGACAAUUUACCCAAAAAUUAAUGAAUAAAUAAAUAUUUCAUGCACAACAGUUGAAGAAGAGAAACUAUCAAGUAUAACUAAAAUGCCAUCAUAGAGACAUAUCUUAUGGGGAAUUAGGCAAAAGAAUUCAUAUCUAACCAUUUGAUCCCCAGGAAAACACAAGUUGGCCACAAGCAAAUACUUUAGGGAGAAAAUCUAACUAAACUCAAUUACCUUUGUACGGUAGUAUAUAGGUAUGUUUGCAUUAAGAAGAGUAAGAGUAACACCAAAUUGUUUCACACUUUCACUUUCCUUUCUCCAUCCUAUAGGCAUUUUAGAUUGAAAGCGCGUCUAAGCUUGCAAUGCAAUAUAGCACCGCAGCUAAUCGUAUUUGAAAGAACCCAUGAAAAUAAACCUCUAGGAUUAGACAUAAAUGAAGCUGUUACCGGAGAUUAGAUCGAGCUAAAUGCAAUUCCAUCAUCUCUUUGAGGAAAGAGGUAUUCUAAUCGACAACCCAUCUUUGCCCAUAGAACAAAAGAAGCGCAUGAAGCCUCACCCAAUUCAAUCGUUCUCGCAA